GACUGCGGAGACAUUG
Molecule: ribosomal RNA, 16 nt
Filed under: Zanthoxylum schinifolium (mastic-leaf prickly ash)
Lineage: Eukaryota; Viridiplantae; Streptophyta; Magnoliopsida; Sapindales; Rutaceae
Description: partial 18S ribosomal RNA
Source: RNAcentral